UACGUAGGGCGCAAGCGUUGUCCGGAAUUAUUGGGCGUAAAGAGCUCGUAGGCGGCUUGUCACGUCGGGUGUGAAAGCCCGGGGCUUAACCCCGGGUCUGCAUUCGAUACGGGCAGGCUAGAGUGUGGUAGGGGAGAUCGGAAUUCCUGGUGUAGCGGUGAAAUGCGCAGAUAUCAGGAGGAACACCCGUGGCGAAGGCGGCUCUCUGGGACGGUACUGACGCUGAGACGCGAAAGCGUGGGGAGCGAACAGG
RNAcentral lists this ribosomal RNA (253 nucleotides) under uncultured bacterium. RNAcentral's name for it is "partial 16S ribosomal RNA". It matches the Rfam family "Bacterial small subunit ribosomal RNA", at positions 524 to 776 of the family's 1533-position model. The record is from RNAcentral.